GGAAUCUUCCGCAUGGACGAAAGUCUGACGGAGCACGCCGCGUGAGUGAUGAAGGUUUUCGGAUCGUAAAACUCUGUUGUCAGGGAAGAACAAGUACCGGAGUAACUGCCGGUACCUUGACGGUACCUGACCAGAAAGCCACGGCUAACUACGUGCCAGCAGCCGCGGUAAUACGUAGGUGGCAAGCGUUGUCCGGAAUUAUUGGGCGUAAAGCGCGCGCAGGCGGUUCCUUAAGUCUGAUGUGAAAGCCCCCGGCUCAACCGGGGAGGGUCAUUGGAAACUGGGGAACUUGAGUGCAGAAGAGAAGAGUGGAAUUCCACGUGUAGCGGUGAAAUGCGUAGAGAUGUGGAGGAACACCAGUGGCGAAGGCGACUCUUUGGUCUGUAACUGACGCUGAGGCGCGAAAGCGUGGGGAGCAAACAGGAUUAGAUACCCUGGUAGUCCACGCCGUAAACGAUGAGUGCUAAGUGUUAGAGGGUUUCCGCCCUUUAGUGCUGCAGCAAACGCAUUAAGCACUCCGCCUGGGGAGUACGGCCG
RNAcentral lists this ribosomal RNA (537 nucleotides) under Bacillus sp. 14III/A01/007. Its description in RNAcentral is "bacterial SSU rRNA". It matches the Rfam family "Bacterial small subunit ribosomal RNA", at positions 358 to 888 of the family's 1533-position model. The record is from RNAcentral. Lineage: Bacteria; Bacillati; Bacillota; Bacilli; Caryophanales; Bacillaceae.